Molecule: small nuclear RNA, 161 nt
Organism: Gossypium arboreum
Lineage: Eukaryota; Viridiplantae; Streptophyta; Magnoliopsida; Malvales; Malvaceae
Rfam family: U1 spliceosomal RNA
About the family: U1 is a small nuclear RNA (snRNA) component of the spliceosome (involved in pre-mRNA splicing). Its 5' end forms complementary base pairs with the 5' splice junction, thus defining the 5' donor site of an intron.
Source: Rfam
AUACUUACCUGGACGGGGUCAAUGAGUGAUCAGGAAGACUCAUGGCCUAGAGUAGUGACCUGCAUUGCACUUGGUAGGGGUGCUACUUUAAGGUCUCCCCAAGAGGGAGAACCUACGUCAUAAUUUGUGGCAGUGGGGGCUUGCGUUCGCGCAGCCCCUAU